CUGACACAGCACUGGAAACUAAAGGCUUAAUUAUCCACAGAAGAGGUACAGCAUGUUGGAGUUCCUUACGCAGCCUGGACUGCAUCACCAAUGCAAGUUCCUUUUCACUGAACCACCUGCUUUAUCCUCUGAUCUGGACUGAGCACCUCCAGGGAUUAGAGGGUAGUUUAAUCUCUGUACCUAUUCAAUCCUUGGCCUUU
Molecule: small RNA, 200 nt
Filed under: Chrysemys picta bellii (western painted turtle)
Lineage: Eukaryota; Metazoa; Chordata; Testudines; Emydidae
Description: TUC338 (ENSCPBG00000028432.1)
Source: RNAcentral